Molecule: ribosomal RNA, 460 nt
Filed under: uncultured bacterium
Lineage: Bacteria
Description: SSU rRNA
Rfam family: Bacterial small subunit ribosomal RNA
Source: RNAcentral
AGAAUCAACGCUGGCGGCGUGCCUAACACAUGCAAGUCGAACGAGAAAGUGGAGCAAUCCAUGAGUAAAGUGGCGCACGGGUGAGUAACACGUGACUAACCUACCCUUGAGUGGGGGAUAACCUCGGGAAACCGGGGCUAAUACCGCAUAACAUCGAGAGAUCAAAGGAGCAAUUCGCUUAAGAAGGGGGUCGCGGCUGAUUAGCUAGUUGGUGAGGUAAUGGCUCACCAAGGCUAUGAUCAGUAUCCGGCCUGAGAGGGCGCACGGACACACUGGAACUGAAACACGGUCCAGACUCCUACGGGAGGCAGCAGUGGGGAAUUUUGCGCAAUGGGGGAAACCCUGACGCAGCAACGCCGCGUGGAGGAUGAAGUCCCGUUGGACGUAAACUCCUUUCGAUCGGGACGAUAAUGACGGUACCGGAAGAAGAACGCCCGGCUAACUUCGCGCCAGCAGCCGC